UAGGGAAUCUUCCGCAAUGGACGCAAGUCUGACGGAGCAACGCCGCGUGAGUGAAGAAGGAUUUCGGUUCGUAAAACUCUGUUGUUAGAGAAGAACAGCGCAUAGAGUAACUGUUAUGCGUGUGACGGUAUCUAACCAGAAAGCCACGGCUAACUACGUGCCAGCAGCCGCGGUAAUACGUAGGUGGCAAGCGUUGUCCGGAUUUAUUGGGCGUAAAGCGAGCGCAGGCGGUUAGAUAAGUCUGAAGUUAAAGGCAGUGGCUCAACCAUUGUAGGCUUUGGAAACUGUUUAACUUGAGUGCAGAAGGGGAGAGUGGAAUUCCAUGUGUAGCGGUGAAAUGCGUAGAUAUAUGGAGGAACACCAGUGGCGAAGGCGACUCUCUGGUCUGUAACUGACGCUGAGGUUCGAAAGCGUGGGUAGCAAACAGG
This 428-nucleotide ribosomal RNA is filed under the name Bacteroidota bacterium. RNAcentral's name for it is "Bacteroidetes bacterium partial 16S ribosomal RNA". It matches the Rfam family "Bacterial small subunit ribosomal RNA", at positions 355 to 776 of the family's 1533-position model. Lineage: Bacteria; Pseudomonadati; Bacteroidota. The record is from RNAcentral.